Molecule: ribosomal RNA, 313 nt
Filed under: uncultured bacterium
Lineage: Bacteria
Description: bacterial SSU rRNA
Rfam family: Bacterial small subunit ribosomal RNA
Source: RNAcentral
AGUGAACGCUGGCGGCGUGCUUAACACAUGCAAGUCGAACGAGAACGGGUCUUAGCUUGCUAAGAUUGUCAGCUAAGUGGCGCACGGGUGAGUAAUAUAUAGUUAACCUGCCCUAGAGAGAGGGAUAACGUUUGGAAACGAUGGCUAAUACCGCAUAAUGCCUACGGGCCAAAGAGGGGGACCUUCGGGCCUCUCGCGUCAAGGUAUGCCUAGGUGGGAUUAGCUAGUUGGUGAGGUAAUGGCUCACCAAGGCGACGAUCCCUAGCUGGUCUGAGAGGAUGAUCAGCCACACUGGAACUGAGACACGGUCCAG